Molecule: ribosomal RNA, 866 nt
Filed under: Crangonyx sp. 1 TRS-2023a
Lineage: Eukaryota; Metazoa; Arthropoda; Malacostraca; Amphipoda; Crangonyctidae
Description: SSU rRNA
Rfam family: Eukaryotic small subunit ribosomal RNA
Source: RNAcentral
UAUCAGCUAUCAACCGUUCGUUACGUGCGACCGAUGGCUUUGACGGGUAACGGGGAAUCAGGGUUCGAUUCCGGAGAGGCAGCCUGAGAGACGGCUACCACGUCCAAGGACGGCAGCAGGCGCGCAAAUUACCCAAUCCCAGCUUCUGGGGGAGGUAGUGACGAAAUCUAACGAUGCGGGCGCCCUUUCUAGGGCCCCGCAAUCGGAAUGAGCACUUUCUAAACAACCUGUUGAGAACCUACUGAAGGGCAAGUCUGGUGCCAGCAGCCGCGGUAAUUCCAGCUUCAGCAGCAUCUAUUAAAGUUGCUGCGGUUAAAAGGCUCGCAGUUGAAUGUCAGUGCCGGGCGCAGGUUAGGUGGACGCUGGGGUGUGAGAACCAACACGGCACGGGCUUCGUCUGGAUGCUUGUCAGCUUGCUGGCCUUCCAGGGGUGGCACCGACCGUGUCUCACAAACUCCCGUCCGUGACAAGCCUCCUCGCCCGCGUACAUAUGGGAAUUGGUUUCGGAGGCGUGCGAACGGCGGCUUCUCUCACGUGUGUGCUGGCUCACGCUGGCCAUACCUGGGGUUGUGUCAGCCACGUGCGUUCUCUUUGUGGUUUCAGAGUCACCUUGAGUAAAUCAGAGUGCUCAAAGCAGUCGUAGGGGCCUUGCGCCCUGUGAAAAGUCUUGACGGACUGACUGGUUAUGCAUGGCAUGUCGGAAGACGACGUCGCGUGCUGGCUCAGAGCUUGAUCAGUGGUAUAAGCCAGCCGCGACGUACUGAUUAAAAGGGACGGUCGAGGGCAUUGGUAUUGCGAGGCGAGAGGUGAAAUUCUAUGACCCCCGCAAGACCUCCUGAAGCGAACGCGUCUGCCAAGGACGUUUU